This 74-nucleotide non-coding RNA is filed under the name unclassified sequences. The record is from Rfam.
AACUGCGCCGUGUCGGCAAGUAGAAAUACACCGGAGCUUUGCGUUUAGGCUUGAACAGCACGUAGCGCAGUUUU